GCCAGGUGUGGUGGCGUGCACCUGUAGUCCCAGCUACUUGGGAAGCUGAGGCAGGAGAAUCGCUUGAGCCCAGGAGUUCAAGGCUGCAGUGAGCUAUGAUAGCACCACUGCACUCCAGCCUGGGCAACAGAGCAAGAUCCUGUCUCAA
Pongo abelii (Sumatran orangutan) is the source of this 148-nucleotide unclassified non-coding RNA. It matches the Rfam family "Metazoan signal recognition particle RNA". From Rfam's summary of the family: The signal recognition particle (SRP) is a universally conserved ribonucleoprotein. It is involved in the co-translational targeting of proteins to membranes. The eukaryotic SRP consists of a 300-nucleotide 7S RNA and six proteins: SRPs 72, 68, 54, 19, 14, and 9. Lineage: Eukaryota; Metazoa; Chordata; Mammalia; Primates; Hominidae. The record is from Ensembl.